AGGAUUCAAUCUGGCGUCUUGGACGCGGUGGUCGGGGGCUUCCCAGGGGCCGUCCGACUCCGCCAUCCCGACGCAUUUGUCUCUCGUCCGAAGGACGCCGCAACCGGUCGGCCAGUGCAAGCGCGACGGCCUGAAGGGCGGGAAAUGGCAGGUGGCCGGUGGCUGUCUUCGUGACCGUCGCCGGUUGUUAGCCGUCCCGUCAGUGGCUCGUCGCUCGACCGAGGUGUCACGAGGCCCUGAAUGGGCUCUCACGCCUCCUCCCAGUCGGGACAGACCGUCGCAGGUGCAGUCCGCCGUCCCCUCGCACACUUCCGGUGUGGCUGGGCGGCCGUUGGCGAUGGCGGGCCCGUCGGAGGCUGGAGGCUUGCGGCGAGUAGGUCGGUCACCCACCCGACCCGUCUUGAAACACGGACCAAGGAGUCUAACAUGUGCGCGAGUCAAUGGGUCUUGAACAGGCCCAGGGGCGCAAUGAAAGCGAAGGUCGGCGCACGCCGACCGAGUUGGGAUGGGCGCACCAACGACCCGUCCUAUCCGGCUCUCCGGUUGGGCGGAGUGUGAGCGUACACGUUGGGACCCGAAAGAUGGUGAACUAUGCCC
This 597-nucleotide ribosomal RNA is filed under the name Miturga gilva. RNAcentral describes it as "eukaryotic LSU rRNA". The stretch from base 412 to 597 matches the Rfam family "Eukaryotic large subunit ribosomal RNA", at positions 665 to 838 of the family's 3401-position model. Lineage: Eukaryota; Metazoa; Arthropoda; Arachnida; Araneae; Miturgidae. The record is from RNAcentral.